GCGUAUCACUAAUACGCCUUACGAUUAACAACAUGGAAUGGUGCGAAGCGACAUGAAAGGUUGUUCAAGCAACCCGAACGUUGAGUCGGGCAUCUUUGAGUAAGGAUGAUUAGUGAUACGC
This 121-nucleotide unclassified non-coding RNA is filed under the name Haemophilus influenzae PittEE. Its description in RNAcentral is "intervening sequence". The record is from RNAcentral. Lineage: Bacteria; Pseudomonadati; Pseudomonadota; Gammaproteobacteria; Pasteurellales; Pasteurellaceae.